CAGUCGUAACAAGGUUUCCGUAGGUGAACCUGCGAAGAUCAUUACAUUUAGUAGCCUAGCUGCUAUCAGUGGGGUUCGUUAGCCUGCGAUAGCUUAAUCGCUGAUGAGCAGCAGACCCCCUGUUUGUACCUUCGUUUUUUGCGUACCAAAUGUUUCCUCGGCGGGCUUGUCUCGCCGGCAUGGACGAAUACUAUAACCCUUUUUUGAAUAUUCAAACAGCGUCUGAAAAACUUGAAUAAUUACAA
This 245-nucleotide unclassified non-coding RNA is filed under the name plant metagenome. RNAcentral describes it as "partial contains small subunit ribosomal RNA and internal transcribed spacer 1". The record is from RNAcentral.